GGGGAAUUUUUCGCAAUCNGUGAGCCCCUCACGGAGCAAUAACGCGAGAGGGGAGACGGCCUAUAAGGUUGUUAACCUCUUUUAUCAAGGAGGAACAAAAUGAACGUGUACCUGAAGAAUAAGCAUCGGCAAACUCCGUGCCAGCAGCCGCGGUAAGUCGGAAAGACGGCAAGUGUCAUCCGUGAAUCCACUGGGCGUAAAGCGUCAGUAGGUGGUNUCUUAAGUCUAGUUCUAAAUCGUGAGGCUCAACUUCAAAUCAUGCCGUCGACACACUAUCAGUCUUGAGUAUNGUAGGGGUAAAGGGAAUUUCCAGUGGAUGCGGUGAAAUGCGUAGAUAUUGGAAAGAACCCCGAUGGCGAAGGCGCUUUCCUGGGCUAUUANUUACACUCAGAGGAUCGAAAGCUAGGGUAGGCGAAAGGGAUCAGAUAUCCCCUGUCGUGCUAGCCCUACAACCAAUGGAUACG
RNAcentral lists this ribosomal RNA (464 nucleotides) under uncultured bacterium. RNAcentral's name for it is "bacterial SSU rRNA". It matches the Rfam family "Bacterial small subunit ribosomal RNA", at positions 356 to 817 of the family's 1533-position model. The record is from RNAcentral.